GACGAACGCUGGCGGCGUGCUUAACACAUGCAAGUCGAACGGAAAGGCCCUGCUUUUGUGGGGUGCUCGAGUGGCGAACGGGUGAGUAACACGUGAGUAACCUGCCCUUGACUUUGGGAUAACUUCAGGAAACUGGGGCUAAUACCGGAUAGGAGCUCCUGCUGCAUGGUGGGGGUUGGAAAGUUUCGGCGGUUGGGGAUGGACUCGCGGCUUAUCAGCUUGUUGGUGGGGUAGUGGCUUACCAAGGCUUUGACGGGUAGCCGGCCUGAGAGGGUGACCGGCCACAUUGGGACUAAGAGACGGCGCAGACGCCUACGGGAGGCAGCAGUGGGGAAUAUUGCACAGUGGGCGGAAGCCUGAUGCAGCAACGCCGCGUGCGGGAUGACGGCCUUCGGGUUGUAAACCGCUUUCGCCUGUGACGAAGCGUGAGUGACGGUAAUGGGUAAAGAAGCACCGGCUAACUACGUG
RNAcentral lists this ribosomal RNA (468 nucleotides) under uncultured bacterium. RNAcentral's name for it is "partial 16S ribosomal RNA". It matches the Rfam family "Bacterial small subunit ribosomal RNA", at positions 28 to 507 of the family's 1533-position model. The record is from RNAcentral.